GGAGGGAGCUUUCUCCAAGUAUUUGCUCACAGAUCGUUUUGUGAUGAUUCAACAUAGUUGAUGUAAAAUCUGGCUGACUUGAACCAGGUGUGAGCCAGCCUGGUGUGGGUACUACAAUAUAUCUGAAAGUGAUAUUUAAUACCAAUUUAUUUGGUCAGGAGGGGCGGGGAGAGGCAGGAGGAAUGAGCACAGAGCAGUGACUUGUUUAUCUUCCACAGCCACGAGUGGCACACGGGAAGGCUGCAGGCAGGGCUCGAUGCCCGGCCUUCCAGCAUCGCCCCUCCAGCCACAAAGCCAGUGGUGAGCCAGGUCAGGGACCUGAUCCAAGCUAUGACAGCAGCGCAGGGGGUCUCUGCUCUGAGCGCACCCAACCUGCACUGACUGCUGGCUGCUGUAUUCAAAACCUCCAAGGCUGCUGCGGGGAAAGUGCCAGAAUAAACAUCUCCGCUUCCUCCAGAGAUGCAAAAGACUGAGAUGCAUUUAGGUCUACCAGGAGCAUCACCGGGGUGUGCAGGGCUCUGGAUUUCACACCCAGAGCCAUCCUUCCCUGCAGUGAGACACCGGGGCAGACAGGCAGUGCUCAUCCCUUGCAGGAGCUGGGAUUGCACAAAU
Oxyura jamaicensis (ruddy duck) is the source of this 612-nucleotide long non-coding RNA. RefSeq lists it as uncharacterized. Lineage: Eukaryota; Metazoa; Chordata; Aves; Anseriformes; Anatidae. The transcript is spliced from 3 exons. The record is from RefSeq and is a predicted model, not a curated record.